Molecule: ribosomal RNA, 79 nt
Filed under: Angraecum distichum
Lineage: Eukaryota; Viridiplantae; Streptophyta; Magnoliopsida; Asparagales; Orchidaceae
Also listed under: 12 other names
Description: partial 5.8S ribosomal RNA
Rfam family: 5.8S ribosomal RNA
About the family: 5.8S ribosomal RNA (5.8S rRNA) is a component of the large subunit of the eukaryotic ribosome.
Source: RNAcentral
GACACGACUCUCGGCAAUGGAUAUCUCGGCUCUCGCAUCGAUGAAGAGCGCAGCGAAAUGCGAUACUUGGUGUGAAUUG